GGAGAGAUGGCUUAGCAGGGUAGAGCACUGGUUCAUCUUCCAAAGAACUUGGGUUCAAUUCCCAGUAUCUACA
Molecule: non-coding RNA, 73 nt
Organism: Mesocricetus auratus (golden hamster)
Lineage: Eukaryota; Metazoa; Chordata; Mammalia; Rodentia; Cricetidae
Source: Rfam